RNAcentral lists this long non-coding RNA (501 nucleotides) under Salvia miltiorrhiza (redroot sage). Its description in RNAcentral is "long non-coding RNA (SMIL_LNC009881)". The record is from RNAcentral. Lineage: Eukaryota; Viridiplantae; Streptophyta; Magnoliopsida; Lamiales; Lamiaceae.
AGCUGAGCAAGCAGAUAAUCUUUAGCAGUUCAUGAUCCGUUCCCUUCGAUUCUGCAACAUUAAUCUAAAUCAACUAAUUAAAAUCAAGCAUUCUUGAUAAUUUUGGUCAUGGAUGAGUAGUGAAACCUUAGCUGCAACACUUUGUGGAUCUUUGGAUUCUGCUACAGCCUUGGGUUUCGCUUUCUCUCCCCUGCAACAACCAACCAAAAUUCAAUUACCUCUCUCUUUAAACUCCAACGAUUCCAACAGGCCUAUAGAACGCGGUGCUGCGUGUUCUAGCCUGGAGGCGUGCGGCGGCUGAUGGAGCAGAGCGGCGUGCGGCGGUGCUUGGGUGCAGAGCGGCGGGCGACGCUAGGCGGGCUACGCGCUAGGGUGCUCAGCGGUGAGCGGCUCCAGGGUUUCGAUCCCUAGUGAAAAGGUGAAAGUGGAGAUGGAAUUAGCGUGAAUUACACUUAGGUUAAUUAGUAGUGGAAGCCAGAGAGUUUUGGUGGGGAUGUGAAG